Molecule: long non-coding RNA, 1507 nt
Organism: Meriones unguiculatus (Mongolian gerbil)
Lineage: Eukaryota; Metazoa; Chordata; Mammalia; Rodentia; Muridae
Exons: 3
Source: RefSeq, a predicted model, not a curated record
GCUGCCAGGAAACGGGUGGGAGGUCUAGGAACUACCCAGAAGGCCCCAAUCUGACUCCACGGCAGGCUCCAUUUUCAACUUUGCCUAACUAGGCCUGAGUUUCUGUUUUUUGGAACACAGAAAACCAGUUUCAGGAAACCCCUCAGCUGGAAGGAAGGCAGCCAAUCGGCUGAAAGGAUAACAUGGGCUUGAGCUAAGUGCAACGAUUCAGCAAACCUUCCCCACAAUCUGUCAUACUUUCACAUCCUUGGAAUCCACAGGGCCAGGGUGGGGCUCAGUGACACUGAUUCAGUGCUGCUUUGUCUGGCCUGGAACUAACGUGGGCCUGGACCCUGCUCUUGCCUGCCUCCUGGCCACCAACUGUUUGUGCAGACUUGGUGGCUAUUGAUUCUCCACAGACCACAGGUGACAUGGCCUCGCCGUUAGGAAACAGCUGCUGGGGUCCCCGAGAGUCCUUCCUCCUCGGCGAUGGUGAACGGGCUUCGCUGGACUCUGCACAUCACACACCCGUUUGGCGGUUCAUCCACCAAGCCAGAGGCUGCCGUGGAGGAAGCUACCUUCGUAGUGUCUGUAAUUCCUCCCUUGUGCAGGCAUGCUCUUCCUUCUGGGCACACAGCUGAACCUCGGCUACAUCUGUCCAGUCACCAUCGCGGGAGCACAGAGACCUCCGCCACGGGUCUCUCUCCAGCGAGGGGCCGCCCGUGCUGCUUUUAGGAGCUAAUAGACUCUCUGGUCCAUCAGCCAUUCCCACAGGUCCCAGGACUCACUUGGACUGUGUUCUCCAUGCCCCUCGGAGGACCGCCACUGAGGGUCCUCUCUCCUCAGACAGCUUGGCCUCAGCGACAAUGUGUCUUAGCCCCGUGAAGACAACACAACUGCCGGCUCCCAUGCUCCCCUUUGGUUCUGUCUUACUCCUUUUUGGGUGGGAAGUGUCGCAUUAGCUCUUCCUGAACGUGAACAGACGUCCGCUCACCCCAGUGAGGCUAUCAAAGGCUGGUCCAGGCCUAACACGCCCACAUGAACAGCCCUGUCUGUACCUACACAGAGGAGGGAGGUCACGGAGUCUGUGUGAUGCUCCUGGCCUGGUCUCCAGUGUCUGUCCCUCUUCUGUGCCUCCUGCUCCCUCCUGCGAUCCUCCAGAUCACACUUCGCUCCUCACCCUUGAAGGCUCCAAUCUGAUCACGCUCCUUCGGAGGGGGAGUUGGGAUCAUCAACAAAGGAUCCUCAGGAAGAGAAAGGGACGGCGGGGGAGCACAGUGGAUGUGUGUGUGCCUUUCCACAAUGUCAGAGUUUAUUAAAACACAAGAAAUUCACAAGCUACGUGUUGGGGUUUGGAUGAGAACUGUCCCCUGGCCCAUGUGCUUAAGCACUUCCUCCAGCAGGUGGCACUGUUUGGGGAGGUCGUGACCCUGUAGGAGGCGGGCCUUGCUGGAGGCCUUGCUGGAGCCCUAGCCCCCCUCCAUCUCAUUCUCUGCUUCCUGGUUACUCUGUGAUCCCUCAGCUCCCA